RNAcentral lists this ribosomal RNA (460 nucleotides) under uncultured bacterium. RNAcentral's name for it is "partial 16S ribosomal RNA". It matches the Rfam family "Bacterial small subunit ribosomal RNA", at positions 338 to 795 of the family's 1533-position model. The record is from RNAcentral.
CCUACGGGCGGCAGCAGUGAGGAAUAUUGGUCAAUGGGCGCGAGCCUGAACCAGCCAAGUAGCGUGCAGGAAGACGGCUCUAUGAGUUGUAAACUGCUUUUGUACGGGGGUAAACGCAGAUACGCGUAUCUGUCUGAAAGUAUCUUACGAAUAAGGAUCGGCUAACUCCGUGCCAGCAGCCGCGGUAAUACGGAGGAUUCAAGCGUUAUCCGGAUUUAUUGGGUUUAAAGGGUGCGUAGGCGGUCGGAUAAGUUAGAGGUGAAAUCCCGAGGCUCAACUUCGGAAUUGCCUCUGAUACUGUUAGGCUAGAGAGUAGUUGCGGUAGGCGGAAUGUAUGGUGUAGCGGUGAAAUGCUUAGAGAUCAUACAGAACACCGAUGGCGAAGGCAGCUUACUAAGCUAAUUCUGACGUUGAGGUACGAAAGCGUGGGGAGCAAACAGGAUUAGAUACCCGGGUAGUC